GACGAACGCUGGCUGCGUGCUUAACACAUGCAAGUCGAACGCUGAAGCCCCAGCUUGCUGGGGUGGAUGAGUGGCGAACGGGUGAGUAACACGUGAGUAACCUGCCCCUGACUUCGGGAUAAGCCCGGGAAACUGGGUCUAAUACCGGAUACGACUAUCGGACGCAUGUCUGGUGGUGGAAAGUUUUUUCGGUGGGGGAUGGGCUCGCGGCCUAUCAGUUUGUUGGUGAGGUAAUGGCUCACCAAGACGACGACGGGGAGCCGGCCUGCGAGGGCGAACGGCCACACUGGGACCGAGAGAAGGCCCAGAGUCGUGCGGGAGGCAGCAGGGGGGAAUAUUGCACAAUGGGGGAAACCCUGAGGCAGCGACGCAGCGUGCGGGAUGACGGCUUUCGGGUGGUAAACAGCUUUCAGCAGGGAAGAAGCCUUCGGGUGACGGUACCUGCAGAAGAAGUACCGGCUAACUACGUG
RNAcentral lists this ribosomal RNA (470 nucleotides) under uncultured bacterium. Its description in RNAcentral is "partial 16S ribosomal RNA". It matches the Rfam family "Bacterial small subunit ribosomal RNA", at positions 28 to 507 of the family's 1533-position model. The record is from RNAcentral.